AGCAGGAGGAGGAGAGAGAGGAGAAAGGGAAAACAGAAGCGAGGUUCAUUGAGGCUCUGAAAGCUCGGAUGAAAGAACGUCUGUCUCAGGAGAAGCUAGACCUCCCUCCUCUCUGCUACUGUGCGUCCUCCUUCUGGGACUCCCACCCCGACACCUGCGCUAACAACUGUGUCUUCCACAACAAUCCCAAAGAAUAUGUCAAGGCCUUACAUUCAACAAUGUUGAGUUUGGAUUGAAGGUGAAUGAAGCUGAUCAACUGCAGUGGACAGUGCCAGGUAGAAAUGGGAUACUUGCCGUCUGUUUGAGUUAUCAAACUCAGUCCGAUGAAAAGUUGAUAUUACAACAAGAAUAUUUAAAUCCUCAAAACUAAAAUGCCUCAAUGAUAGAAAAACUAUCACAUGAAACAUUAAACACUUUUUUUCCACAAAUGCACUCCUGGAUUGUCUACAGGACAGGCUGCCCCUGAAAUCAGCUUCCCAGUGUGGGUUUCCUGUUCACAUGCACCUCAUAGUGGGAGAAUUUUUCUGUUUGAUCGAGGGGUGGGGGUUGUCGUUAUAUCAACGAUACAUGCAAUUGUAUUCACAGUAUCAGAAAAGUGUUGAAAGGAAAUGGUGGUUUCACUACGUGCAGACGACACUUAUUGGUUAUGUGAAACAACACCAUCCCCUCCGCACCCCCAUUCACUGUGACUAUUCCUGACUUUCAGCUUCUGCGUUCACACAUAGGCUCGCCCCGACCACAAGAGGGUGCUGGCAGGAAAGAUUCUGGGUAAUUUGGGGUUAAAAAAAACAAAACCCUACAUGCAUCCCACCCUCAACAUUUCUGCCAUUUCUUUUUGCACAGGUUUUCAUACUGAUGAGUCCAUGUGACAUAUGUGAUCCCUCACUUUUCUAACUGUGUAACGCUGCCCACAAAUCCAAGUGUUCACUUGUCUUUUAACUAAAUAGAUCUGUGCACACAUUUCUAAAGACAUUUUUAUUUUUUAUUUCCUUAUGUCUUCAGUGAACCCCGACCAUACUCCCCCACCCCCAGCCUGAGUUACACUUUUUGUGGUAAACAUGGAAAAAUAUAUACUUUCUAAAAAUCACUGUUAUCACUGAAGCUUGUUAGCUUGCUGAUAUUAACUUCAACCUCAGAUACCUAUUGUGCCUCUUACAGCUUAGCUAACAGACUGUAAGAAAACAUCUCAUUAAGAAUACUCUUUCCAUGUAAUUAGUAAAAUGAGUUUAAAUACUAUUAAAUACUUUAUUAAUGAAAUGGAAUCAGGGAGGUCAGUAUGUGUAUAAACGUGAGAAUAUGCUUCUGAGUAUUUGUGGUUUGUUGUGUGGGAAUCUUAGUUAUCUGUUGUAGGUCAUGUUUUUUGUUUUGCAACACUUAAAAAAAUGAAUUAAAAACACAAUUUUUU
This is a non-coding RNA of Labrus bergylta (ballan wrasse), 1405 nucleotides long. NCBI's taxonomy places the organism in Eukaryota, Metazoa, Chordata, Actinopteri, Labriformes, Labridae. The record is from RefSeq and is a predicted model, not a curated record.